RNAcentral lists this transfer RNA (73 nucleotides) under Stegodyphus mimosarum. It matches the Rfam family "tRNA". Rfam says of the family: Transfer RNA (tRNA) molecules are approximately 80 nucleotides in length. Their secondary structure includes four short double-helical elements and three loops (D, anti-codon, and T loops). Lineage: Eukaryota; Metazoa; Arthropoda; Arachnida; Araneae; Eresidae. The record is from Rfam by way of RNAcentral.
GCCUUCGUGGUGUAGUGGUUAGCACACUCGACGCGUAACUGAGAAGUCUGUGGUUCAAUUUCCGGCGAAGGCG